GCCAGUAGGGAAUCUUCCGCAAUGGACGAAAGUCUGACGGAGCAACGCCGCGUGAGUGAUGAAGGUUUUCGGAUCGUAAAGCUCUGUUGUUAGGGAAGAACAAGUACCGUUCGAAUAGGGCGGUACCUUGACGGUACCUAACCAGAAAGCCACGGCUAACUACGUGCCAGCAGCCGCGGUAAUACGUAGGUGGCAAGCGUUGUCCGGAAUUAUUGGGCGUAAAGCGCGCGCAGGCGGUCUCUUAAGUCUGAUGUGAAAGCCCACGGCUCAACCGUGGAGGGUCAUUGGAAACUGGGGGACUUGAGUGCAGAAGAGGAAAGUGGAAUUCCACGUGUAGCGGUGAAAUGCGUAGAUAUGUGGAGGAACACCAGUGGCGAAGGCGACUUUCUGGUCUGUAACUGACGCUGAGGCGCGAAAGCGUGGGGAGCAAACAGGAUUCAGAUAC
RNAcentral lists this ribosomal RNA (445 nucleotides) under Bacillus sp. (in: firmicutes). RNAcentral's name for it is "bacterial SSU rRNA". It matches the Rfam family "Bacterial small subunit ribosomal RNA", at positions 350 to 785 of the family's 1533-position model. Lineage: Bacteria; Bacillati; Bacillota; Bacilli; Caryophanales; Bacillaceae. The record is from RNAcentral.